UAAUACGUAAGGGGCAAGCGUUGUCCGGAAUCACUGGGCGUAAAGGGCGCGUAGGCGGUUCGUUAAGUCGGGAGUGAAAGCGCUGGGCCUAACCCAGCAACGGCUCUCGAGACUGACGAGCUAGAGGGUCCUAGGGGAUUGUGGAAUUCCAGGUGUAGCGGUGAAAUGCGUAGAUAUCUGGGAGAACACCCGUGGCGAAGGCGGCAAUCUGGGGGACACCUGACGCUGAGGCGCGAAAGCUAGGGGAGCGAACGGGAUUAGAUACCCCGGUAGUCCUAGCCCUAAACUAUGAGUACUAGGUGUUGGGUGUCAAAACCCGGUGCCGGCGCUAACGCAUUAAGUACUCCGCCUGGGGACUACGGUCGCAAGACUA
Molecule: ribosomal RNA, 373 nt
Filed under: uncultured bacterium
Lineage: Bacteria
Description: bacterial SSU rRNA
Rfam family: Bacterial small subunit ribosomal RNA
Source: RNAcentral